This is a long non-coding RNA of Contarinia nasturtii (swede midge), 467 nucleotides long. RefSeq lists it as uncharacterized. The record is from RefSeq and is a predicted model, not a curated record. Lineage: Eukaryota; Metazoa; Arthropoda; Insecta; Diptera; Cecidomyiidae. The transcript is spliced from 3 exons.
AUAUUUUAUGACGACUUUUGUCCCAAGAUACACAACCGAUUUUAGCUUGAAACACAAGAGCUUACAUAAUCAGUAUCAAUGCGAAAUAUCAAUUUCAAUGAAAUUACAGAACCAGUGCUAUAUUGAAAAUGAACUUUUGGCAAACGAACAGUCAGGUUUCAAAUGCAGUGUGAAUAAUUAUUUCUUUGGGCAAAUCAAAGAUGUUACCGAUAUAUUGAACCUAUUGCACUUCAGAUCUGCUCUCAGGGGAAGGGUUUCAGAUUUCGAUUAUUACCUACAAAUAAAUUAUACCAAUAUGAAAAACCAAAAUGGAAAUAGGAAAGUUAAUUUCCCAUCAGAAAGAAAAACAGACUGUCAUGAGAAAGUCAAACCUAAAUUGUUUACCGACACAUUAGAUUUGUUCGGAGUAAAAAAUAAAACUGAGUUUGAAGUUUCUUUCGUGGGCGAAUUAGCUGAGCACAAAAUCA